Molecule: ribosomal RNA, 270 nt
Filed under: uncultured archaeon
Lineage: Archaea
Description: partial 16S ribosomal RNA
Rfam family: Archaeal small subunit ribosomal RNA
Source: RNAcentral
CAGCGCCACGAGUGGGAACUACAAUUAUUGGGCCUAAAACGUCCGUAGCCGGUUUAGUAAAUGCCUGGGUAAAUCGUGUAGCUUAACUAUACGACUUCCGGGUAGACUGCUAAACUUGAGACCGGGAGAGGCUAGAGGUACUCCUGGGGUAGAGGUGAAAUUCUGUAAUCCUAGGGGGACCACCAGUGGCGAAGGCGUCUAGCUAGAACGGGUCUGACGGUGAGGGACGAAGCCCUGGGGCACAAACCGGAUUAGAUACCCGAGUAGUCC